AACGAACGCUGGCGGCAUGCCUAACACAUGCAAGUCGAACGAGACCUUCGGGUCUAGUGGCGCACGGGUGCGUAACGCGUGGGAACCUGCCCUUAGGUUCGGAAUAACUCCCCGAAAGGGGUGCUAAUACCGGAUAAUGUCUUCGGACCAAAGAUUUAUCGCCUUUGGAUGGGCCCGCGUUGGAUUAGCUAGUUGGUAGGGUAAAAGCCUACCAAGGCGACGAUCCAUAGCUGGUCUGAGAGGAUGAUCAGCCACACUGGGACUGAGACACGGCCCAGACUCCUACGGGAGGCAGCAGUGGGGAAUAUUGGACAAUGGGCGAAAGCCUGAUCCAGCAAUGCCGCGUGAGUGAUGAAGGGCGUAGGGUUGUAAAGCUCUUUUACCCGGGAUGAUAAUGACAGUACCGGGAGAAUAAGCACCGGCUAACUCCGUG
RNAcentral lists this ribosomal RNA (433 nucleotides) under uncultured bacterium. RNAcentral describes it as "partial 16S ribosomal RNA". It matches the Rfam family "Bacterial small subunit ribosomal RNA", at positions 29 to 507 of the family's 1533-position model. The record is from RNAcentral.